RNAcentral lists this long non-coding RNA (1191 nucleotides) under Carassius auratus (goldfish). RNAcentral describes it as "lncRNA (ENSCARG00000030465.1)". Lineage: Eukaryota; Metazoa; Chordata; Actinopteri; Cypriniformes; Cyprinidae. The record is from RNAcentral.
AUGAAAUUUAAACAUUUAAAUAUGGCUACAAAACACAACUCAAAAAAACGUUUCUUGGAACCAGAUACGGAUAACAGUGCACCAAACAGAGGCUUUUCUCUGUCGAGUAAUGAUGAUUGGCCAAAGUUGAUUACUAUUGAAUCUAUUUCUUCAGAUAUCCCAAUUAUCAAGCUCUCCCCUUUUGCCAUGCAAAAGGGUAUUACAGGAAUAGCAGGAACUGUUAAAGAAGUGAAAAAAUUACGUUCGGGACAAAUUCUUGUUGAAUGCUGUAAAAAGGCAAAUGCUGAAAACCUGUUACAUGCUAAUAUGCUGGCAGGAAUUCAGAUAACGACAUACCCUCACCCAACUUUGAACUAUAGUAAAGGAACAAUUCGUACUAGAGAACUGGAUGAUGUAGAUGAAGAAGAAGAAAUAACAAAUGAGCUUAAAACUCAAGGAGUAACAAAUGUGAAACGAAUUAUAAUCAAAAGAGAAGAAAGAAUGAUUAAAACCAAUACAUACAUCAUCACUUUUAAUAAACCACUCCUACCAGAAAGAAUUCAGAUUGGGUAUCUAAGUGUUCUGGUAGACCUAUAUAUACCCAAUCCUUUGAGGUGUUUCAAUUGUCAAAAAUAUGGACACGGAUUUAAUAGUUGUAAAAACAAGCACAUCUGUUGUAACUGUGGAGAAGAAGGCCAUGACAAGGGUAGUUGUGAGAAACCAACUAAAUGUUGUAACUGCACAGGUGAUCAUUCAGCUGCAUCAAAACAAUGUCCCAUGUGGAUCAAAGAAAAGGAAAUACAAAAAAACAGAUGUACAAAAAGGAUCAGUUACAUUGAAGCAAAGAAACAAGUGACUAUAACACCUAUUUUUACUCUGAAUAAAACAUUUGCUUCUGCUGCAAGAAAAUCUGUGAGAUCAGUAGAUUGCCAGACAGACAUCACUUGGAUGUACAAAGAUAAACCUCAAACAGUUAACCUAAGUAAUACUCCCUCAAGGGCAAAAAUUACAGAAAAACAAAACGAAGUCCCCUCAAAUUACACGAACCUCAGCCAAAUUUCAGAAACAGAAAAUCAGAGGACAAGUAAAAGCAACAGGAAAUCAAACUCGCAAUCCAAAGUAUCGGAAAUGAAAGAGAGUGAGCAUCAUAGUAGAAGCCCAUCUCCAAAAGGAAAAGUUAGGACAAAUGUUCCUAUUCUUCCUAAUAGGUAA